GAUGAACGCUGGCGGCGUGCCUAAUACAUGCAAGUCGAGCGAACAGACGAGGAGCUUGCUCCUCUGACGUUAGCGGCGGACGGGUGAGUAACACGUGGAUAACCUACCUAUAAGACUGGGAUAACUUCGGGAAACCGGAGCUAAUACCGGAUAAUAUAUUGAACCGCAUGGUUCAAUAGUGAAAGACGGUUUUGCUGUCACUUAUAGAUGGAUCCGCGCCGCAUUAGCUAGUUGGUAAGGUAACGGCUUACCAAGGCGACGAUGCGUAGCCGACCUGAGAGGGUGAUCGGCCACACUGGAACUGAGACACGGUCCAGACUCCUACGGGAGGCAGCAGUAGGGAAUCUUCCGCGAUGGGCGAGAGCCUGACGGAGCAACGCCGCGUGAGUGAUGAAGGUCUUCGGAUCGUAAAACUCUGUUAUUAGGGAAGAACAAAUGUGUAAGUAACUAUGCACGUCUUGACGGUACCUAAUCAGAAAGCCACGGCUAACUACGUG
RNAcentral lists this ribosomal RNA (497 nucleotides) under uncultured bacterium. RNAcentral describes it as "partial 16S ribosomal RNA". It matches the Rfam family "Bacterial small subunit ribosomal RNA", at positions 28 to 507 of the family's 1533-position model. The record is from RNAcentral.